AGCACCGGGUCCCUCCUCCUCACGUGGUGGUUGUUACUCUGAAGCUGCCGGGCUGUCGUGAGGGUGAUGGAUUUUGAGAAUCUUUUCUCCAAACCCCCCAACCCGGCCCUGGGUAAAAAUCCGAGCACGGACUCUGAUAAAAGAAUCGAUGAUGAAAUAGAUGAUACAGAAGUUGAAGAAACACAAGAAGAGAAAAUUAAAUGGAAAGUAAAACUGGAGUGUGAGCAAAUACCCAAAAAAUUUAGGCACUUGGGGAAUGCUACAGCAUCACCGAACAAAUUGCUACAUAGAAAAUCAAGAAGUAAGGACUAUGAUGUAUAUAGUGAUAAUGAUACCUGCAAUCAAGAAUCGGAAGACUCUUUUGCUAAAGAGCUUCAGCAGUAUAUACAAGCUAAAGAAAUGGCAAAUGCUGCUCAAUCCUUACCAUUUCCUGAAGAAUCGAAGAAAGAGGGAGUGAAGGACACCCAGAAAAGUAAGGCUAUUAAAAAAAAUAAAAACCUUAAAACUAUAAAGAAAAAUGGUAAACAGAAGAAACUGAAGCGAAAAUGGCCCGGCGCUGGACACAAAGGAUGCCACGCUUCACUGAGGAACAGUGGUGCAAAGGAGCAGGAUGGUAAACCGCAAGAGAAGCAGCAGCAUGUGAGAAUGAGUCAGGGAUUCAUCAACCAACAUACAGUGGAACGCAAGGGGAAACAAAUUUGUAAAUAUUUUCUUGAAAGGAAAUGUAUUAAGGGAGACCAGUGUAAAUUUGAUCAUGAUGCAGAGAUAGAGAAGAAAAAGGAAGUGUGUAAGUUUUAUGUACAAGGAUAUUGUACCAGAGGUGAAAACUGUCUUUAUUUGCAUAAUGAAUAUCCUUGCAAGUUUUACCAUACAGGAACAAAAUGUUAUCAGGGUGACUGUUGCAAGUUUUCACAUGCUCCACUGACUCCUGAAACACAAGAACUGUUGGCCAAAGUUUUGGAUACUGAAAAGAAGUCAUCAUGAAAAUAAAAGGCAUGAAAAAGAUAUCUCAUUGUCCCAGCACCAUUUCAAAGAAAAGACUACCCUUUCUCUAUUUUGUAUAGAUGAAGAGUGCUUAUGUCUACGCCUGUUCAAGACUUGAUUCGGAGUGGUUUACAAGAGUCCUCAUUUAAAGCGCCCUCUUGUGUCGCUAUGGUGUUGUGCAUCUUCUCUGAUUGAUAGCAGAGGGGCAGAAUCUAGUGUGUAAGUGAGGGGAUCGGCCUUCACCCAGCUGUCCCAACCAGGGAACAGGAAAGGAGCAUACAUGGCAGAGAUGCUGGCUGGUAGGUGAAUGUUGUGGUAGUAAACGGCAGAAGGCUUUUCUGAUGGCGUUUUGUCAGUAAGAUAGGAAGGAAGAUUAGGCUGAGUGCAGAUGCAUGAAGAGAUACAGAAGAUUAGAGAGAGAGAACUGUUAGGUUUCUCUAGGAACACAUUGGGAUAAUAGGUGGAUAUGACUCUACAGUUAGAUCUUUUCAUGUCAUUUAAUACAUUUACAGCAUAUUUUUAAUGGUUGCUCACAAUUUUGUUUUAUGGUUUAAGUUACAGUUUGUGAUUUUUUUUAAAAAACCACUUUCCUGUUGUUUCCAACUUCUUAAUAUUACAAAUAAAAUGGGACAAUGUCUCUUGCUGUACCAUUCCUAAA
Molecule: RNA transcript, 1642 nt
Organism: Suricata suricatta (meerkat)
Lineage: Eukaryota; Metazoa; Chordata; Mammalia; Carnivora; Herpestidae
Gene: ZC3H8
Gene name: zinc finger CCCH-type containing 8
Exons: 10
Source: RefSeq, a predicted model, not a curated record